UACGUAGGUGGCGAGCGUUAUCCGGAUUUACUGGGCGUAAAGGGCGUGCAGGCGGGCGGCCACGUGGUGCAUGAAAUGGCCCGGCUUAACCCGGCAGGGUUAUGCGAGACUGGUCGUCUGGAGUGCGAGAGAGGGGCGUGGAAUUCCGGGUGUAGUGGUGAAAUGCGUAGAGAUCCGGAGGAACCCCAGAGGCGAAGGCGGCGCCCUGGCUCGCAACUGACGCUCAGACACGACAGCAUGGGGAGCGAACGGG
RNAcentral lists this ribosomal RNA (253 nucleotides) under uncultured bacterium. Its description in RNAcentral is "partial 16S ribosomal RNA". It matches the Rfam family "Bacterial small subunit ribosomal RNA", at positions 524 to 776 of the family's 1533-position model. The record is from RNAcentral.